This 279-nucleotide ribosomal RNA is filed under the name uncultured bacterium. RNAcentral describes it as "partial 16S ribosomal RNA". It matches the Rfam family "Bacterial small subunit ribosomal RNA", at positions 506 to 784 of the family's 1533-position model. The record is from RNAcentral.
UGCCAGCCGCCGCGGUAAUACUGAAGGUGCAAGCGUUAAUCGGAAUCACUGGGCGUAAAGCGCUCGUAGGUGGCUUUGUAAGUCGGGCGUGAAAUCCCUGGGCUCAACCCAGGAACUGCGUUCGAAACUGCGUAUCUUGAGUGAUGGAGAGGGAAUCGGAAUUCUCGGUGUAGAGGUGAAAUUCGUAGAUAUCGAGAGGAACACCAGUGGCGAAAGCGGAUUCCUGGACAUUUACUGACGCUGAGGUACGAAAGCGUGGGGAGCAAACAGGAUUAGAUA